This 749-nucleotide ribosomal RNA is filed under the name uncultured archaeon. RNAcentral describes it as "bacterial SSU rRNA". It matches the Rfam family "Archaeal small subunit ribosomal RNA", at positions 1 to 719 of the family's 1478-position model. The record is from RNAcentral.
UUCCGGUUGAUCCUGCCGGACCCCACUGCUAUCGGGAUGGGACUAAGACAUGCUAGUCGUGCGUCUCCAAGCCACGGUGGAGGCGCGGCGCACAGCUCAGUAACACGUGGCUAACCUACCCUUGGGACGGGGACAACCCCGGGAAACUGGGGCUAAUCCCCGAUAGGUGAGGACUCCUGGAAUGGAUCCUUGCCGAAAGGGCGUCUAGACCACGCUUUUAGGCGCUGCCCAAGGAUGGGGCCGCGGCCGAUCAGGUUGUUGGUGAGGUAACGGCUCACCAAGCCUAAGACCGGUACGGGCCGUGAGAGCGGGAGCCCGGAGAUGGACACUGAGAUAAGGGUCCAGGCCCUACGGGGCGCAGCAGUCGCGAAACCUCCGCAAUACGCGAAAGCGUGACGGGGCCAUCCCGAGUGCCGUCUGCUGAGGACGGCUUUUCCCCAGUGUAGACAGCUGGGGGAAUAAGGGGAAGGGCAAGUCGGGUGUCAGCCGCCGCGGUAAUACCCGCUCCCCGAGUGGUGGGGACGCUUAUUGGGCCUAAAGCAUCCGUAGCCGGCUGGGCAAGUCCCCUGUUAAAUCCAAGCGAUUCAAUCGCUGGACUGCGGGGGAUACUGUCCAGCUAGGGGGCGGGAGAGGCCGACGGUAUUCUCGGGGUAGGGGUGAAAUCUUAUAAUCCCGGGAAGAACCACCAAGUGGCCGAAGGCUGUCGGCUUGGAACGCGCCCCGACGGUGAGGGAUGAAAGCUGGGGGAA